AGAAUAUUAUUUGAAUUAUUUUAUAGGUGAUUAUUAAUUAAAAUAAUAUUAGUGGAUAUGUUUUAGUAGGGUUUAUUGAAUUUAUGAAGUGAAUAAUAGAGGAGUAGUACUGUGAGGGAAGAAUGAAAUAGAUGAAAAAGUUAUUGGAAUGGAAGAAGGAUAGAGUUUGUACCUUGGGUAUCAGGGUUUAUUAAUUAAGAAUAGGGAUAUUAUAAUUCUCGAAUUAAAAAGAGUUAAGGUGGUGAAGUAGUUAAUGUGUUAUUAUUAUUAGUUACACCAUUUUAGAGAUGAAAUGUUAAACGUUUUUUAAGUUAUCUAGUUUCUCAAGAAAUGAAUUUAAUUCAUGUUAUUUUUAGGUAGGUGGUUGAUUGUUGUCAAUAAUUUAUUUCUAAUAACAAAUGUAUGAAGGGAUAAGCUUUUGUAUAGGUAUUAUAAGUUAUGAAAUUUGUAAAGAGUAGUAGGCUUUAAAUUAGCCAUCAAUGGAAUAAUGUUAUAAGUUGUUUUGUUAUUAGAUUAUUUUUUAAUAAUUUUAAUUUGUUUAUUGGGAUAUUAUGUUGAAUAGAUUAAUAUAAGUAAUGAUGAUAAAAUGAGUAUAUAGAAUUGUUUAUUUUGUUUUUUUUUGGAAUUUAUAAUAAGGAACUAGGCAAAUUAUCACUCKCCGKUAUAUCAAAAACAUCUCCUUUUGUGUAUAUUUAAGGUAGGGCCUGCCCACUGAAAGUUAUUUGAAGGGCCGCGGUAUUAUGACCGUGCAAAGGUAGCAUAAUCAUUAGUCUUUUAAUUGAAGGCUGGAAUGAAUGGUUUGACGAGGUGAUGACUGUCUCAUUAUAAUAUAUAGAAGUUAACUUUUAAGUUAAAAGGCUUAAAUUUUAAUGGAGGACGAGAAGACCCUAUAGAGCUUUAUAUAUGUAUUUAAAUUUGUAUUUAGAAGUUUAUAAGAAUUUAGGUUGAUUAUAUUGUGUUGGGGUGACAUAAAGAUAGGAUUAACUCUUUAUUUUAAGAACAUUGAUGUAUGGGUUUGUUGAUCCAUUUUUAAUGAUCAUAAGAUUAAGUUACCUUAGGGAUAACAGCGUAAUUUUUCUUGAGAGUUCAUAUCAACAGAGAAGAUUGCGACCUCGAUGUUGGAUUAAGGAAUAUAAUUAGAUGCAGCAGUUUAGUUGAUAGGUCUGUUCGACCUUUAAAUCCUUACAUGAUCUGAGUUCAGACCGGUGUAAGCCAGGUCGGUUUCUAUCCUCAUUAUUUUGUUAUACUUUAGUACGAAAGGACCAGGUAUUUUAAAUAUUUUAUUUUAUUUGAUUAUUAGUA
Molecule: ribosomal RNA, 1302 nt
Filed under: Poecilimon macedonicus
Lineage: Eukaryota; Metazoa; Arthropoda; Insecta; Orthoptera; Tettigoniidae
Description: 16S ribosomal RNA
Rfam family: Bacterial large subunit ribosomal RNA (bases 846-1238)
Source: RNAcentral